AUGGGGUUGAAGACCGAGGAUGCGAUACACGCCUGCCUGCUCGAGCAGCUGCUCGCGUCCUUCGACAAGCGAAACAGGAACGACCCUGAGCUGGACCAGUGGAUACGCCCCCGCGACAGGAGCAGGAAGGCCCUCAAGCACCCCUUCUUCCUGUUCAAGAUGAAGGCGUCCGCCAAGAAACCGCGGGUAUCAUGGUGGAUGAAGAAGUACGACAUGUUCCCUCCGGAGCGGCCGGGGUACACAUGCGCCUUGAGGGUCGCGCGCCUGGUGAUCGCAUCGGACGGCGUGUUCCGCCUGGAGCAGGCGGGGGAGGGCGGGCAGCCGGGUGCUCUGUCCUACCUCACCGACACGAGUUACAGGGAGUUUUCACGUCCCAAAGAAGGCGUCUUCAAAGAGGGCCUCAGGGAAGUCGCCGUGAUCCAGAGGCUGCCCGGCGGCGAGGGGAUUUCCAUCAUGUCUCACGUGGUGGGGCUCGGUGUCAAGCUUGGUGACAUUCUCUUUGUGCUGCAUUGCUGGUCCGUGACCGUCGCCCUGAGCAUCACCGAGCGGGACUUCUAUGUCACUUCCAAGUUCAAGGAGGAAUCAUUAUACGCCAGCGCCGAUCUUGAUUUCGUAGACAUUACGGUCCCUGUUGAGAAUCUGAUCAAGAAGCUUUACCAGAUGUAUGAGCUGGAGGAGCGAGAUAAACAGAAAAUGCAGGAGAAUCAAGGUGAUCAGGAGGCAGAGGAGCUGAUGUGUCAGCUAGAGGUUCAGAAAAAGGAGAAACUGGAAGUCCGGCAGAGGAGAAGGGCUGAGAAAAAGAAAUAUCAUGACCUGCGUAAGGAGAUGAAGAGUAUGGUUCGACAGAUGAAGCAAGAAGCAAGCGUUGAAGGAAUACAGGGGCAACUUGAAGAAUUUGAAGACAUUUGCUUUUCCACCCCAAUGCUUUCUGAACCUGAUUCGGCGAAACCAUGUGAAGGCGAGCUAUGCCAAAGUGAGGAGAUGUGCAAGGAAUCUCUAGAGGAGGCUAUGAAGCUUAAUAGUACAGACGUAAGUGUGCUAUUUUUACUACCCUCUGUCUUCAUUCUUGCUUAUUUGUUGCUAGGUAAUUUCUUUGAACUUUGCAAUGAUGUCUUGGUAGCCUGA
RNAcentral lists this ribosomal RNA (1125 nucleotides) under Triticum aestivum (bread wheat). RNAcentral describes it as "partial small subunit ribosomal RNA". Lineage: Eukaryota; Viridiplantae; Streptophyta; Magnoliopsida; Poales; Poaceae. The record is from RNAcentral.